This 406-nucleotide ribosomal RNA is filed under the name uncultured Chloroflexota bacterium. RNAcentral's name for it is "bacterial SSU rRNA". It matches the Rfam family "Bacterial small subunit ribosomal RNA", at positions 355 to 776 of the family's 1533-position model. The record is from RNAcentral. Lineage: Bacteria; Bacillati; Chloroflexota. RNAcentral also lists the same sequence under 1 other name.
CAAGGAAUUUUCCGCAAUGGGCGCAAGCCUGACGGAGCAACGCCGCGUGGGGGAAGAAGGCUUUCGAGUUGUAAACUCCUUUUGCGAGGGAAGAAGAUCUGACGGUACCUCGCGAAUAAGCCACGGCUAACUACGUGCCAGCAGCCGCGGUAAUACGUAGGUGGCAAGCGUUGUCCGGAUUCACUGGGCGUAAAGCGCGCGCAGGCGGGCUGAUAAGUCCCGGGUUAAAUUCCACGGCUCAACCGUGGGCGGCCCCGGGAUACUGUCAGUCUUGAGGCAUUCAGAGGAGAGUGGAAUUCCCGGUGUAGUGGUGGAAUGCGUAGAUAUCGGGAGGAACACCAGUGGCGAAAGCGGCUCUCUGGGGAUGUCCUGACGCUGAGGCGCGAAAGCGUGGGGAGCGAACCGG